RNAcentral lists this ribosomal RNA (466 nucleotides) under Vreelandella stevensii. RNAcentral's name for it is "partial 16S ribosomal RNA". It matches the Rfam family "Bacterial small subunit ribosomal RNA", at positions 338 to 795 of the family's 1533-position model. The record is from RNAcentral. Lineage: Bacteria; Pseudomonadati; Pseudomonadota; Gammaproteobacteria; Oceanospirillales; Halomonadaceae.
CCUACGGGAGGCAGCAGUGGGGAAUAUUGGACAAUGGGGGCAACCCUGAUCCAGCCAUGCCGCGUGUGUGAAGAAGGCCCUCGGGUUGUAAAGCACUUUCAGUGAGGAAGAACGCCUGGUGGUUAAUACCCAUCAGGAAAGACAUCACUCACAGAAGAAGCACCGGCUAACUCCGUGCCAGCAGCCGCGGUAAUACGGAGGGUGCGAGCGUUAAUCGGAAUUACUGGGCGUAAAGCGCGCGUAGGUGGCUUGAUAAGCCGGUUGUGAAAGCCCCGGGCUCAACCUGGGAACGGCAUCCGGAACUGUCAAGCUAGAGUGCAGGAGAGGAAGGUAGAAUUCCCGGUGUAGCGGUGAAAUGCGUAGAGAUCGGGAGGAAUACCAGUGGCGAAGGCGGCCUUCUGGACUGACACUGACACUGAGGUGCGAAAGCGUGGGUAGCAAACAGGAUUAGAUACCCCAGUUAGUC